GUCGAGGGGUAUGUUCUUCGGAACUAGAGACCGGCGCACGGGUGCGUAACGCGUAUGCAAUCUACCUUUUACAGAGGGAUAGCCCAGAGAAAUUUGGAUUAAUACCUCAUAGUAUUAUGAAAUGGCAUCAUUUUAUAAUUAAAGUCACAACGGUAAAAGAUGAGCAUGCGUCCCAUUAGCUAGUUGGUAAGGUAACGGCUUACCAAGGCUACGAUGGGUAGGGGUCCUGAGAGGGAGAUCCCCCACACUGGUACUGAGACACGGACCAGACUCCUACGGGAGGCAGCAGUGAGGAAUAUUGGACAAUGGGCGCAAGCCUGAUCCAGCCAUGCCGCGUGCAGGAUGACGGUCCUAUGGAUUGUAAACUGCUUUUAUACAGGAAGAAACCCUGGUUCGUGAACCAGCUUGACGGUACUGUAAGAAUAAGGAUCGGCUAACUCCGUGCCAGCAGCCGCGGUAAUACGGAGGAUCCAAGCGUUAUCCGGAAUCAUUGGGUUUAAAGGGUCCGUAGGCGGUUUAAUAAGUCAGUGGUGAAAGCCCAUCGCUCAACGGUGGAACGGCCAUUGAUACUGUUAAACUUGAAUUAUUAGGAAGUAACUAGAAUAUGUAGUGUAGCGGUGAAAUGCUUAGAGAUUACAUGGAAUACCAAUUGCGAAGGCAGGUUACUACUAAUAUAUUGACGCUGAUGG
Molecule: ribosomal RNA, 689 nt
Filed under: Flavobacterium sp. T73.09.LHR.H.Kidney.D
Lineage: Bacteria; Pseudomonadati; Bacteroidota; Flavobacteriia; Flavobacteriales; Flavobacteriaceae
Description: bacterial SSU rRNA
Rfam family: Bacterial small subunit ribosomal RNA
Source: RNAcentral